GAAGCUGUAGCGCAGAGGUCAACGCGCCCUCUAACCAAGAGGGAGGACGCCGGUUCGAAUCCAGCCUGCUCCCCCG
Molecule: transfer RNA, 76 nt
Filed under: Streptomyces sp. XY511
Lineage: Bacteria; Bacillati; Actinomycetota; Actinomycetes; Kitasatosporales; Streptomycetaceae
Also listed under: 1 other name
Description: tRNA-Gly
Rfam family: tRNA
About the family: Transfer RNA (tRNA) molecules are approximately 80 nucleotides in length. Their secondary structure includes four short double-helical elements and three loops (D, anti-codon, and T loops). Further hydrogen bonds mediate the characteristic L-shaped molecular structure. tRNAs have two regions of fundamental functional importance: the anti-codon, which is responsible for specific mRNA codon recognition, and the 3' end, to which the tRNAs corresponding amino acid is attached (by aminoacyl-tRNA synthetases). tRNAs cope with the degeneracy of the genetic code in two manners: having more than one tRNA (with a specific anti-codon) for a particular amino acid; and 'wobble' base-pairing, i.e. permitting non-standard base-pairing at the 3rd anti-codon position.
Source: RNAcentral